UUCACUUGCAUUGGGAGCAAUGAUUUUAAAUGCCUUGUAAAGAACACUACGUUGCACCUGAGUAACUUUUGCACCUCUCAAAAAGACUUGUAUGUUUCGAGCCUUGAAAACUCUUCCUGAAACUUGUUGAUUGCUGAAACUCAGUCUUUGAAGCCAACUACGACCUUAUUUGAACUGAACGAACUUAAUGCUUCUUGCUCAUGGUCCCUUGUGUACUGAGUCAUGGCUAUACACACUUGAGUUGUCACAUCUUUUAUACCAAUCUUUUUUGACAAACUCUAGUGGUAGACGACUCCCAAAACCUUUUCCUCCUUUUAAGCUUUCAUUGUUUGAUGAGUGAGGCCUUUUUCGGAAAGUCUUACAUGUGCAUAAUGUUGAGAGUAUCGGGAACGACAAUGUUUGAUCUUCAUUCUUGCUAGAUUGGGCACUCUAUUGUCUAGCUAUAGGUGGGGGGUGAGUGUUGUGAUUAUGAUUUGGGAAAAAUGAAAAAGGAAAAGAAUAGACUCUUUGUGCUUAAGUGAAUUGUUUUAUUGGGAUCAGUAGAGAAGCCUCUAGCUCAAGUUUUGAAAAGUCUUGGCCCCCAGCCUACAAAAAAAAAAAAUAAUAAUAAAAUAAAAAGGGGGCUAGCAAAGUUGUUAAGAGCUAAGAAAUGUUUUGAGGUUGUGAAAAAUCCCUUGUAGAUUUCAAAGAGAAAGAGUUGAUGUUCUUAGGAUCUUUUGGUGAGAGAUGUGAGUUGGGUUUGACAUUGGGAAAUGAUUGUGUGAUUUGUAUGUUUGGGAAAAGGGUAGAACAAUGGAGAUUGAGCAUUGUAUGCAUGAGUUGGUCUCUUUCUUAGAUAUAUUAUGUGCAAUGUCAAGGCUACUUGUUUCGAGAGUAAACCACCUUAAAGAUCAUAUAUCUUGAACCUCUUGACUCUUUUAAAUAAAAGCCUUCCCUUACCCAACCAAAUGAUUUGGACCAACUGACCAUUUGCAAGAAUUCACCUGAUGUUUUAUGCUUAAUGAAUAUGAUAGUUGGUUGAUUUGAA
Molecule: long non-coding RNA, 1027 nt
Filed under: Brassica rapa (field mustard)
Lineage: Eukaryota; Viridiplantae; Streptophyta; Magnoliopsida; Brassicales; Brassicaceae
Description: long non-coding RNA (BRAP_LNC007036)
Source: RNAcentral